This 235-nucleotide ribosomal RNA is filed under the name uncultured bacterium. Its description in RNAcentral is "partial 16S ribosomal RNA". It matches the Rfam family "Bacterial small subunit ribosomal RNA", at positions 99 to 334 of the family's 1533-position model. The record is from RNAcentral.
CGGACGGGUGAGUAACGCGUGGAUAACCUGCCUCACACUGGGGGAUAACAGUUAGAAAUGGCUGCUAAUACCGCAUAAGCGCACAGUACCGCAUGGUACGGUGUGAAAAACCCAGGUGGUGUGAGAUGGAUCCGCGCCUGAUUAGCCAGUUGGCGGGGUAACGGCCCACCAAAGCGACGAUCAGUAGCCGACCUGAGAGGGUGACCGGCCACAUUGGGACUGAGACACGGCCCAA